CAAUAAGCAGGGACAUCUUCCACUACAUCAGUUGCUCAGAGCCCUGUCCAGUCUGGCCUUGAAUGUUUCUGGAAAUGAGGCAUCUACCACUGUAAAGGACUGUGUCUAGAAGAUGUUUAUACCAAUGAAUGUCUGCCUCAACAUUGCUGGACUGUGUCAAAACCCCCAACGGAUGUCUGCCUCAGCAUUGUUGGAGCACCCUACCUCCUACUAAGUUUCUGAUGCUUUAGCAAACAUAGUUACAGAAACUGCUACACCCCCAUAAGCCCAGACAUCCAUGUAACACUACAAAGAACAAUACAUCCUUGAAGGUGAAGGAAGCAGGGCAACCUUGGAGAUAAGACAGAGAGACCCUGAGCUUGCAUCAAUCCUGUUAGACCAGUUUGAACCACUUAAGGAUGCAAAUCCAAUUAAAGUCAAACAUUCAAUCAGGAGGAAGAUGCAGAGCCUUCAUCAGUUGACCACCGAAGGACACCCUACCACCACGACCACCACCACAUUUGAUAGAGCAUGUAAAUGAUUUACUGGAAAUCCCCAAACCUUUCCUGGAAAACCUAUGCAUAUGGAUAACCUCACCCUUGCACAUGCGCCCAGACCCAGGGAUGGAAAAAAGACCCUGAAACCCCCCCCCCCGCCCCCCCCAUAGAGACAGUAUUGGGCAUGUGCACCAUCACUGAGUGGUGAGUGAGGGCGAACAAGACAGUUUUUAGGAUAUGCCAAUCAAUUCUCAGGAGGAGCGACAACACCUCAAUAUAAGAGCCAUGACAACCAGUAUCAAAUGGAAUUCCCUACCUGAAGUCCAUUAGGACUGAUGGGACUCUGGAGCUCCGUGGUGAUAAAAUUUUUGAUGCCUGCCUGAAGAAAUACACGAAGCUAUUAAUUGUCUGCAUAGCUCUUGUGAUCAAUUUCCUGUACCUUAGUUUGAACUUGAGGGUGUCUUCACGGUCUUGGAGGAUUGGAAGGAGGAGGUGGUUUUCUUCUGCACCAACCAUGAAAAACACAUUGACAUAUUGAAAUAACGAUGAGCAUCAUGAGUAGCACAAUGAACAAUCCAAACAGCAAAGCAGCGCACAAUGGAUCAUCUGUUACUCCCAUUCUUCUGAAGCUGCAGUUUGUGGUGAGAUGGGUGAGUCAGUUUGUGGCCCUUGUGGUCAAGGCCCAGGCUAAAGGCUCAACCAAGGUUAGGGUCCGCAUGCGCAAUGAGGGGAGAUUUUCUUCCACCCAAAAUGCAUGCGUAGCCUGGAUUUGGACCCAGCCUUGUAGUUCUGUUUUGCCAUCCAGGUAUAGCAGAACUUUUGAGACCCCCCAACAACACAUGCGCUUUGUUAAAGGGGCGUGGAAGUCCAUUAGUCCAUUUUCCUGCUGCGUAUGCUGACCCCGACUUCCAACUCAAUCCCAACAGACCAGGCCAGCUGACCGCUUGCCUUGCGUAGGCCAAAACCGCUCUGUUUUGUAUUUCCCAAACUGUGAAAACAGUGGAAUACAUAUGAUGGUACCAAUCUAUUAUGCAGCUUUAUCUUUGUUACUUAUUGCUUUAUUUGCUCUUGUGAUAUGUACUUUUUAUCCUUGUGAAUGUUUGUCUUGUAAAUGCUCAUGUAAACCAUAAUUGUCUUGUCAGCUAACCCCUCAAGUACAAGAAACAGCAGUA
Tyto alba (common barn owl) is the source of this 1648-nucleotide long non-coding RNA. RefSeq lists it as uncharacterized. The transcript has 3 exons. The record is from RefSeq and is a predicted model, not a curated record. NCBI's taxonomy places the organism in Eukaryota, Metazoa, Chordata, Aves, Strigiformes, Tytonidae.